This 432-nucleotide ribosomal RNA is filed under the name uncultured bacterium. Its description in RNAcentral is "bacterial SSU rRNA". It matches the Rfam family "Bacterial small subunit ribosomal RNA", at positions 1069 to 1504 of the family's 1533-position model. The record is from RNAcentral.
GAGAAGUGGGUUAAGUCCCGCCACGAGCGCAACCCUUGUCGUUAAUUGCCAUCAUUUAGUGGGCACUUUAACGAGACUCCCGGUGACAAACCGGAGGAAGGUGGGGAUGACGUCAAGUCCUCAUGGCCCUUAUGGGUAGGGCUUCACACGUCAUACAAUGGUCGGUACAAAGGUCGCCAACCCGCGAGGGGGAGCCAAUCCCAGAAAGCCGAUCGCAGUCCGGAUUGCAGGCUGCAACUUCGCCUGCAUGAAGUCGGAAUCGCUAGUAAUCGUGGAUCAGCAUGUCACAAUGAAUACGUUCCCGGGUCUUGUACACACCGCCCGUCACACCAUGGGAGCGGGUUCCGCCAGAAGUAGGUAGCCUAACCGCAAGGAGGGCGCUUACCACGGCGGGGUUCGUGACUGGGGUGAAGUCGUAACAAGGUAACCGUA